Brienomyrus brachyistius is the source of this 1306-nucleotide long non-coding RNA. RefSeq lists it as uncharacterized. The transcript has 4 exons. NCBI's taxonomy places the organism in Eukaryota, Metazoa, Chordata, Actinopteri, Osteoglossiformes, Mormyridae. The record is from RefSeq and is a predicted model, not a curated record.
CAUCUUCUGGCCGCCGUUAGUAAUUGCCGCAACCUUAAAUGAGGUGUGCUGUACGUGGGUUGGGGAAACCUGUUGAGGGUCGCGGUUAUAGCAGGUUUUUGGGUUAACUUUGCUAUCCAUAGUGAUGCAGCAGGAGCGUUAGAGAACAACAGUGGCCGAUUCUGGUGAUAAUAGGACCAUUCUGCUUGAUUGGGGGAACAGAUCCCCCCCCCAUUAAACCACCUGCUGAUCCCUGGCUACAUUUUUCAACCCCAGAGAGGCGACCGAGGCCUCAUUAGGUGUCAAGCGCCAGGAGGCUUUGAAAGGAGAAACAGUCAACGGAAGAUUAAAGUGGGGCUCGGAUCCGGCCCCUGCCCAACCUUAUCUGGGAAGCGGAAACGGCAAAUUGCUCAUAGAAUUUUGGCUGAUUUCAUUUAUCUUUUUUUUGUUUGCUUAUUAACUUUCUUUCCAGCUCGUGCCACGGAAAUAAGAUAAUGUCACAGCAAUAGGCGAUGUCGCAGAACAUGAAAUUAUGACCGAUGAAAAUCGAACAAAUCAGUCCAGCCCCCCUAGGGGGGGUUGUUUACGGAGUCACAAUCAAAUUUAAUUUUCGGGACACUCGCUUUGCUUGUCUUGCCAAUUAGGUUCCACCUAUCAGGCGUGCUAAAAAUGUGGCUUCAAAAAAAAUCCACAACUAGGAAUGGUUCUUAUUUUAAAUUGACCUCUUUGUGCUCCCUGUCUGGCAAUGAGCUGGCAAAGUUAGAGGCCAGAAUGGAGACGUCAUGGACACCUCUUCUGGGUACAGCAGUGACGGUCACAGACAGUCCUAGAGACCUACAGUUCGACAGUUGCUGUAGGUCUUACCUCAAAAACGAUCGAUGAGCUUGUCCAAAACACAGCUGUGGGAGAGAAAGACAUGCUGAUUCUCGUCGCCCGGGAGCCAGAAGCACGGGGUAGCGGCUAAUCUGCUCCACUUCCCUGACUGCAGGUCUUGUGUUUCAUCAAGCUAACAAAGCUCUUCAAACAUCAGAAGUGGAAUUUUAAUGACGUUCUUUGCCGCACUGUACAUGAACGGCAGUGUGGUAUACUUUAUCAUGAGAAAUAAUCUUGAAGUACCUGUUCAGACUAAUUCUGCGAGUUCUGUCUGAUGUGAUCUGUCCACUGUCUAGCUCAGAUAUUGCCUUUUAAGUUUUCCUGUUAAGCUGCUUAGAGUCGCUAUUUCCCUCCGCUAGGCCUUUCUCUUACCACAUAAUGAGUCCGUUAUAUUUCUGUGCUGCUUGAUUGAUUUGCUUUGAAAUUGCUCAGCUGGGAUGUUUUGAAGAUUCAC